This 581-nucleotide ribosomal RNA is filed under the name uncultured methanogenic archaeon. Its description in RNAcentral is "bacterial SSU rRNA". It matches the Rfam family "Archaeal small subunit ribosomal RNA", at positions 340 to 921 of the family's 1478-position model. The record is from RNAcentral. Lineage: Archaea; Methanobacteriati; Methanobacteriota.
CGCGAAAACUUUACAAUGCUGGCAACAGCGAUAAGGGAACCUCGAGUGCCAGGUUACAAAUCUGACUGUCGAGAUGCCUAAAAAGCAUUUCAUAGCAAGGGCCGGGCAAGACCGGUGCCAGCCGCCGCGGUAACACCGGCGGCUCGAGUGGUAACCGUUAUUAUUGGGUCUAAAGGGUCUGUAGCCGGCCGGAUAAGUCUCUUGGGAAAUCUGGCAGCUCAACUGUCAGGCUUUCAGGAGAUACUGUCUGGCUCGAGGCCGGGAGAGGUGAGAGGUACUUCAGGGGUAGGGGCGAAAUCUUGUAAUCCUUGAAGGACCACCAGUGGCGAAGGCGUCUCACCAGAACGGACCUGACGGCAAGGGACGAAAGCUAGGGGCACGAACCGGAUUAGAUACCCGGGUAGUCCUAGCCGUAAACGAUACUCGCUAGGUGUCGGCCACGGUGCGACCGUGGUCGGUGCCGUAGGGAAGCCGUGAAGCGAGCCACCUGGGAAGUACGGCCGCAAGGCUGAAACUUAAAGGAAUUGGCGGGGGAGCACCACAACGGGUGGAGCUUGCGAUUUAAUUGGAUUCAACGCCGG